Molecule: ribosomal RNA, 253 nt
Filed under: uncultured bacterium
Lineage: Bacteria
Description: partial 16S ribosomal RNA
Rfam family: Bacterial small subunit ribosomal RNA
Source: RNAcentral
UACGUAGGGGGCAAGCGUUGUCCGGAUUUAUUGGGCGUAAAGAGCGUGUAGGCGGCCUGAAAGGUCAGCUGUGAAAACUCGAGGCUCAACCUCGAGACGUCGGUUGAAACCAUCUGGCUAGAGUCCGGAAGAGGAGUGUGGAAUUCCCGGUGUAGCGGUGAAAUGCGCAGAUAUCGGGGAGAACACCCGUGGCGAAGGCGGCACUCUGGGGCGGUACUGACGCUGAGACGCGAAAGCGUGGGGAGCGAACAGG